This is a long non-coding RNA of Octodon degus (degu), 823 nucleotides long. RefSeq lists it as uncharacterized. The transcript has 2 exons. The record is from RefSeq and is a predicted model, not a curated record. Lineage: Eukaryota; Metazoa; Chordata; Mammalia; Rodentia; Octodontidae.
UCCUGUAUUAUAUUGAGUAUUUUAGGGGAGUCUUUAAAAGACUUAUUUUAUAUCUAUAGGUUAUUAUAAAUACAAGAUUUUUGUACCUUCCAUAAGCCUCAUUUCUGUUGGUCCUCCACUCUUCAUUCAUCUAGUCUUAAAAAUGAGCUCUGAGAUGGUCUUUUUGAACAACGUCUGCUGUGAACGCUGUACACCUCUCUUCCCCCGUGGGGAGGCCUAGAGGGCAUCAGUGAGCGUUCUGACUCCUGCAGUCUCUUCCUGUCCCUGGGGGACCAGCAUCUGGGGACGGAAAAGGAGCAGACACUGCCCCCAACUGGCCUCUGCUGCUGCUGGAUGUCUGAGGCCUGUGUGUCCUUCGGCAGGGGACUGUUGUCUGUACACCUUCUGGGGAAUCCUCCAAAUAGGUGUGCAGCUGCCUGCGGGGAGCAGAGCCUGAUGGCGUGUGGCAGGUGGCAGAACGAGGCGCUCGGCUCUGGGUGCUCUUCCUGCCUUCCGCCCGUCCCCGAAGGCCUUCUGCCGAGCACCACAGAGCUGUCCCUGUCUUUCCAGACUCGUCCCAUAGAUAGGACAGGCACCAGCAGAUGCUCUUUGGGGAGGAAGAGGAAGUGCUGAGAAGUUCAUUUACGCUGGGUCAGAGUUCAGGCAGUCGGAUAGGACCCCCUGACACGGGGGUGAGUCCUAGGCCAGGGGACCCCUCUGUCAGAGGUGGUUCGUGUGGCACGAGCCACAACAGACUGAGCAGAACGGUUUGGCUGCCUGUGGGCCACCUGGGGCACUCGGCAACGCAGCGGCCGGGUGGUCGCGCAGGCUGCACCGUGCGUCU